RNAcentral lists this ribosomal RNA (776 nucleotides) under uncultured Neocallimastigales. Its description in RNAcentral is "partial large subunit ribosomal RNA". It matches the Rfam family "Eukaryotic large subunit ribosomal RNA", at positions 24 to 635 of the family's 3401-position model. The record is from RNAcentral. Lineage: Eukaryota; Fungi; Neocallimastigomycota; Neocallimastigomycetes; Neocallimastigales.
UAUGUGAUCGUCUCUCGCAUAUCAAUAAGCGGAGGAAAAGGAACUAACAAGGAUUCCCUUAGUAACGGCGAGUGAAGCGGGAAGAGUUCAAAUUUGAAAUCUUAAAGGGUUUCCCUUUACGAAUUGUAGUUUAAAGAAGUGUUUUCUGUUGAGGUUUUGGUAAAAGUUCUUUGGAAUAGGACAUCAUAGAGGGUGAGAAUCCCGUAUUUGACCUUUACUUUCAACUUUGUGAUACACUUUCAAAGAGUCGGAUUGUUUGGGAAUGCAGUCCAAAAUGGGUGGUAAAUUUCAUCUAAAGCUAAAUAUUGGCGAGAGACCGAUAGCGAACAAGUACCGUGAGGGAAAGAUGAAAAGAACUUUGAAAAGAGAGUUAAACAGUACGUGAAAUUGUCAAAAGGGAAGCGUUUGACACCAGUGUUGUUUUUCUGAAAAUCAAUUAAAGAACUGUUUAUGCUAAGCUUGUUUAGACUUUAUCAGCUAUCUGUUUAGUUUUAGGCUUUUCUUUAAUGCACUUUUCAGUUAACAAGUCAACAUCAAUUUCUUUUGCUGUAAAAAAGGCUUGAGGAAGGUGGCUUGAGAUUCGUCUUAAGUGUUUAUAGCCUCUUGCCUAUGCAGUCGGAGAGAUUGAGGUCUGCAGCGUAGAUCCUUCGGGGCUAAAUGCAUUUGUGCUAAGUUAUAGCAUUUUAUAGACAACUUGUUGACUAUGAUUUGUCUUGUAGCUUACUCGCUUAUGUUAUUUUACCUACGCUUAGGAUGUUGAUCUACAGAGCGAGAGU